RNAcentral lists this ribosomal RNA (426 nucleotides) under uncultured bacterium. Its description in RNAcentral is "partial 16S ribosomal RNA". It matches the Rfam family "Bacterial small subunit ribosomal RNA", at positions 354 to 796 of the family's 1533-position model. The record is from RNAcentral.
GUGAGGAAUUUUCCGCAAUGGGCGAAAGCCUGACGGAGCAAUGCCGCGUGAAGGAUGAAGGCCUAUGGGUUGUAAACUUCUUUUCUCAGAAAAGAAUUAUGACGGUAUCUGAGGAAUAAGCAUCGGCUAACUCUGUGCCAGCAGCCGCGGUAAGACAGAGGAUGCAAGCGUUAUCCGGAAUGAUUGGGCGUAAAGCGUCUGUAGGUUGUUUAAAAAGUAUUCUGUCAAAGAUUAGGGCUUAACCCUAGAUAGGCAGAAUAAACUUGUAAGCGAGAGUUUGGUAGAGGCAGAGGGAAUUCCCGGUGGAGCGGUGAAAUGCGUAGAUAUCGGGAGGAACACCAAAGGCGAAGGCACUCUGCUGGGCCAAUACUAACACUGAGAGACGAAAGCGAGGGGAGCAAAUGGGAUUAGAAACCCUAGUAGUCC